GAUCACCUACGGGAGGCAGCAGUGAGGAAUAUUGGUCAAUGGCCGGAAGGCUGAACCAGCCAAGUCGCGUGAGGGAAUAAGGCCCUAUGGGUCGUAAACCUCUUUUGUCAGGGAGCAAAGGCGUCCACGUGUGGACGAGAGGAGAGUACCUGAAGAAAAAGCAUCGGCUAACUCCGUGCCAGCAGCCGCGGUAAUACGGAGGAUGCGAGCGUUAUCCGGAUUUAUUGGGUUUAAAGGGUGCGCAGGCGGAGGCACAAGUCAGCGGUAAAAUCGCGGGGCUCAACCCCGCUCCGCCGUUGAAACUG
RNAcentral lists this ribosomal RNA (305 nucleotides) under uncultured bacterium. RNAcentral describes it as "bacterial SSU rRNA". It matches the Rfam family "Bacterial small subunit ribosomal RNA", at positions 333 to 635 of the family's 1533-position model. The record is from RNAcentral.